This 493-nucleotide long non-coding RNA is filed under the name Carica papaya (papaya). RNAcentral's name for it is "long non-coding RNA (CPAP_LNC008655)". Lineage: Eukaryota; Viridiplantae; Streptophyta; Magnoliopsida; Brassicales; Caricaceae. The record is from RNAcentral.
AAGUUGGAGAAGCUUCACUCGAAAUAAUGGAGUCCAGUGAAGCAGGCAGUUGGUUUUAUGAAUUGACCAUAAUGUCCUCGUAUUAUAAAUAAAAAAUACAAUUUUAGAAGGGUAAAAUUGUCUUUUUGACCUACUGAACCCAGGAGUUUAAUCAAGCUUAUAUAAAGCCUAAAAACCCUCGGCUCUUUUCCCUACCAAACUUGGUACAAGAAUCUCUCUCUCUCUCUUCUAUCUUCAUUCUUACAGUCUUUGAGUUUUUUAUAAUACCAAAACAGCCACAGAAUACAAUUAGUCUUUUGCAAAAAUACCCAUCAAAUACACAGAGGAAAGCAUCAAGAAAGUACAGAGAAGAAAGAAGAAGAAAGAAGGAGGAGAAGAAGUGAUGAUGAAGCAGAGAACCAGAGCUUUUGCGACAGGCACGUGCGAGACCCGUGCAGUCGUUUGGGAAGAGUGCAGCAGAUUAGUGAAGGAGCAGAGGGCAAGGUUCUACAUU